This 120-nucleotide ribosomal RNA is filed under the name uncultured bacterium. Its description in RNAcentral is "partial 16S ribosomal RNA". It matches the Rfam family "Bacterial small subunit ribosomal RNA", at positions 215 to 334 of the family's 1533-position model. The record is from RNAcentral.
GCACCGAAAGAGUGCCUCGCGGCCUAUCAGCUAGUUGGUGGGGUAACGGCUCACCAAGGCGACGACGGGUAGCUGGUCUGAGAGGAUGGCCAGCCACAUUGGGACUGAGACACGGCCCAG